This 323-nucleotide ribosomal RNA is filed under the name uncultured eukaryote. Its description in RNAcentral is "partial 18S ribosomal RNA". It matches the Rfam family "Eukaryotic small subunit ribosomal RNA", at positions 1470 to 1795 of the family's 1831-position model. The record is from RNAcentral.
CCCUUAGAUGUUCUGGGCUGCACGCGCGCUACACUGAAGCUAUCAACACGUUUUCCCUCCCUGAGAAGGGCGGGUAACCUUUUGAAUCAGCUUCGUGGUAGGGAUCGGGGCUUGCAAUUGUUCCCCGUGAACCAGGAAUUCCUAGUAGACGCGAGUCAUAAGCUCGCAUCGAUUAAGUCCCUGCCCUUUGUACACACCGCCCGUCGCUACUACCGAUUGAACGUUUUAGUGAGGCAUUUGGACCGACGCAUCUCAGUUUAACCGCUGGUUUGUGUUGGAAAGACUUCCAAACUUGAGCGUUUAGAGGAAGUAAAAGUCGUAAC